CCCUUAGGUGUUCGGGGCCGCACGCGCGCUACACUGAAUGAAUCAGCGAGUGUAUGUCCUAGGCCGAAAGGUCCGGGUAACCCGUUGAACCUCAUUCGUGAUUGGGAUAGGGACUUGCAAUUGUUUCCCUUGAACGAGGAAUUCCCAGUAAGCGCAAGUCAUCAGCUUGCGUUGAUUACGUCCCUGCCCUUUGUACACACCGCCCGUCGCUACUACCGAUUGAAUGUUUCGGUGAAGAUUCCGGACCGUGGCGAGCGCGCUUCACGGCGCUCUUGCCGUGGGAAGUUAUCUAAACCUCAACAUUUAGAGGAAGGUGAAGUCGUAACA
This 327-nucleotide ribosomal RNA is filed under the name uncultured eukaryote. Its description in RNAcentral is "partial 18S ribosomal RNA". It matches the Rfam family "Eukaryotic small subunit ribosomal RNA", at positions 1470 to 1796 of the family's 1831-position model. The record is from RNAcentral.